Molecule: long non-coding RNA, 557 nt
Organism: Cyprinus carpio (common carp)
Lineage: Eukaryota; Metazoa; Chordata; Actinopteri; Cypriniformes; Cyprinidae
Source: Ensembl
CCCGGGAAAGUCCAUGAAUGAGUUCAUAAUUCCUGUUUAAGGAAAAUUCGUUUCUUGUUCAAUUGUGAAUCGCAGAAAAAAAAAAGAAAAGAAAAACAGGUCAAGGGCGCGCGCUUAGAGAACCAGGUGCGGGCGCUCUCGUGGGCGCCAAACCACAUGAUACGAGCAGCCAGCCAUCCGAUCGCGGAAGUGCGACUUUUUUUGGACCGUGGAGGCGGGAGGGGGGGGUAGACUGGGGGAGGAAAGGAAGGCAGAGCCGAAAAGAAAAGUUUCAUGAUAUUACUCGCACUCGACGUGGAAAUGAGCCUGGCGAGACCAGUGCUUUAUUGGGUGUCUGGACCGUCUUUUGUUCCUCAAAUGUGAUAUUUUCAGCAGUUGAUCUGAACAGAGCAGGACCGGAAUCGAGGGGCAGAGAGGAGAGAAAGCGAUCGGGAAAACUGACACACAAAAGAGCGUUUUCCAAUGGAGUAUGUGGUAAGCGUUUCCCCAAAAAUACCUGCAUGUACGUAUCCCCAGGCAUGGAGGCUGGUCAUACAUUAUCGAAAAACCUGACCUGA